CGGAGGUCCCGAGCGUUGUUCGGAUUUAUUGGGCGUAAAGGGUGCGUAGGCGGCGGAGUAAGUUGGGUGUGAAAUCCCGGGGCUCAACCUCGGAAUUGCAUUCAAUACUGCUUCGCUCGAGUACUGGAGAGGAGGCUGGGAUUUACCGUGUAGCAGUGAAAUGCGUAGAUAUCGUAAGGAAGGCCGGUGGCGAAAGCGAGCCUCUGGACAGUUACUGACGCUGAUGCACGAAGGCCAGGGGAGCAAACGGGAUUAGAUACCCCGGUAGUCCUGGCAGUAAACGGUGCGCGUUUGGUGUGGGGGGAUUCGACAAUCUCCGCGCCGGAGCUAACGCGUUAAACGCGUCGCCUGGGAAAUACGGUCGCAAGAUUA
Molecule: ribosomal RNA, 372 nt
Filed under: uncultured organism
Description: bacterial SSU rRNA
Rfam family: Bacterial small subunit ribosomal RNA
Source: RNAcentral